Molecule: ribosomal RNA, 484 nt
Filed under: uncultured bacterium
Lineage: Bacteria
Description: partial 16S ribosomal RNA
Rfam family: Bacterial small subunit ribosomal RNA
Source: RNAcentral
AUUGAACGCUGGCGGCAUGCCUAACACAUGCAAGUCGAGCGGACGAAGGGGGCUUUCUCCUGUCUUCAGUGGCGGACGGGCGGGUGAUGCCCAGGUAUCUACCUUGCAGUUGAGGAUGGCGUCAGGUCACGGGCGCUAAUACCGCAUCCGUCAUGAGUUUGAAAGGGGGGGAUCUUCGGACCUAACGCUAUCUGAUGACCCUAGGUCGGAUUAGCUAGUUGGUGUGGUAAAGGCUUACGAAGGCGACGAUCCGUAGCUGAUCUGAGAGGCUGAUCAGUCACACUGGAACUGAGACACGGUCCAGACUCCUACGGGAGGCAGCAGUGGGGAAUAUUGCGCAAUGGGCGAAAGCCUGAUGGAGCAAUGCCGCGUGAGUGAAGAAGGUCUUCGGAUCGUAAAGCUCUUUUAGUAGGGAAGAACAGAAGUAUGUUAAACCCUGGCUGUCUUGACGGUACCUACAGAGAAAGCCACGGCUAACUUCGUG